This 85-nucleotide small RNA is filed under the name Chryseobacterium indoltheticum. RNAcentral's name for it is "Flavo-1 RNA". It matches the Rfam family "Flavo-1 RNA". The record is from RNAcentral. Lineage: Bacteria; Pseudomonadati; Bacteroidota; Flavobacteriia; Flavobacteriales; Weeksellaceae.
UUUUAGCCCUGAUCGCAACGACAUCCUUUUUUGUUUAGGCAAAAGCCAAGGAACAAAAAAGAUACAGUGAAGAGCGGGAAACAGC